AGUAACACGUAGAUAACCUGCCCUUUAGUGGGGAAUAACAGCUCGAAAGAGUUGCUAAUACCGCAUACGCUCUCUGAUGAUAGUCAGAGAGGAAAGCUUUAGUGCUGAAGGAGGGGUCUGCGGCGGAUUAGCUAGUUGGUGGGGUAAAGGCCUACCAAGGCGACGAUCCGUAGCUGGUCUGAGAGGACGGCCAGCCACACUGGGACUGAGACACGGCCCAG
This 221-nucleotide ribosomal RNA is filed under the name uncultured bacterium. RNAcentral describes it as "partial 16S ribosomal RNA". It matches the Rfam family "Bacterial small subunit ribosomal RNA", at positions 109 to 334 of the family's 1533-position model. The record is from RNAcentral.